CGGACGGGUGAGUAAUGUCUGGGAAACUGCCUGAUGGAGGGGGAUAACUACUGGAAACGGUAGCUAAUACCGCAUAACGUCGCAAGACCAAAGAGGGGGACCUUAGGGCCUCUUGCCAUCGGAUGUGCCCAGAUGGGAUUAGCUAGUAGGUGGGGUAACGGCUUACCUAGGCGACGAUCCCUAGCUGGUCUGAGAGGAUGAUCAGCCACACUGGGACUGAGACACGGCCCAG
This 232-nucleotide ribosomal RNA is filed under the name uncultured bacterium. RNAcentral describes it as "partial 16S ribosomal RNA". It matches the Rfam family "Bacterial small subunit ribosomal RNA", at positions 99 to 334 of the family's 1533-position model. The record is from RNAcentral.